CCUGCAGUCGACGGUAACAGGUCUUCGGAUGCUGACGAGUGGCGAACGGGUGAGUAAUACAUCGGAACGUGCCCGAUCGUGGGGGAUAACGGAGCGAAAGCUUUGCUAAUACCGCAUACGAUCUACGGAUGAAAGCAGGGGACCGCAAGGCCUUGCGCGGACGGAGCGGCCGAUGGCAGAUUAGGUAGUUGGUGGGAUAAAAGCUUACCAAGCCGACGAUCUGUAGCUGGUCUGAGAGGACGACCAGCCACACUGGGACUGAGACACGGCCCAGACUCCUACGGGAGGCAGCAGUGGGGAAUUUUGGACAAUGGGCGAAAGCCUGAUCCAGCCAUGCCGCGUGCAGGAUGAAGGCCUUCGGGUUGUAAACUGCUUUUGUACGGAACGAAAAGACUCCUUCUAAUAAAGGGGGUCCAUGACGGUACCGUAAGAAUAAGCACCGGCUAACUACGUGCCAGCAGCCGCGGUAAUACGUAGGGUGCAAGCGUUAAUCGGAAUUACUGGGCGUAAAGCGUGCGCAGGCGGUUAUAUAAGACAGAUGUGAAAUCCCCGGGCUCAACCUGGGAACUGCAUUUGUGACUGUAUAGCUAGAGUAC
This 596-nucleotide ribosomal RNA is filed under the name uncultured bacterium. Its description in RNAcentral is "bacterial SSU rRNA". It matches the Rfam family "Bacterial small subunit ribosomal RNA", at positions 54 to 649 of the family's 1533-position model. The record is from RNAcentral.